GUCCACGCCCUAAACGAUGCGAACUGGACGUUGGGAGCAACUAGGCUCUCAGUGUCGAAGCUAACGCGUUAAGUUCGCCGCCUGGGGAGUACGGUCGCAAGACUGAAACUCAAAGGAAUUGACGGGGGCCCGCACAAGCGGUGGAGUAUGUGGUUUAAUUCGAUGCAACGCGCAGAACCUUACCUGGUCUUGACAUCCACGGAAUCUUGCAGAGAUGCGGGAGUGCCUUCGGGAACCGUGAGACAGGUGCUGCAUGGCUGUCGU
This 264-nucleotide ribosomal RNA is filed under the name uncultured bacterium. RNAcentral describes it as "partial 16S ribosomal RNA". It matches the Rfam family "Bacterial small subunit ribosomal RNA", at positions 793 to 1055 of the family's 1533-position model. The record is from RNAcentral.